GCGUGCGGGAAGAAGGCCUUCGGGUUGUAAACCGCUUUUGUCAGGGAAGAAACGGCUUUUGAUAAUACCGAGAGCUAAUGACGGUACCUGAAGAAUAAGCACCGGCUAACUACGUGCCAGCAGCCGCGGUAAUACGUAGGGUGCAAGCGUUAAUCGGAAUUACUGGGCGUAAAGCGUGCGCAGGCGGUUGUGCAAGACAGAUGUGAAAUCCCCGGGCUCAACCUGGGAACUGCAUUUGUGACUGCACGGCUAGAGUACGGUAGAGGGGGAUGGAAUUCCGCGUGUAGCAGUGAAAUGCGU
RNAcentral lists this ribosomal RNA (300 nucleotides) under uncultured bacterium. RNAcentral describes it as "bacterial SSU rRNA". It matches the Rfam family "Bacterial small subunit ribosomal RNA", at positions 399 to 691 of the family's 1533-position model. The record is from RNAcentral.